Molecule: long non-coding RNA, 1223 nt
Organism: Polypterus senegalus (gray bichir)
Lineage: Eukaryota; Metazoa; Chordata; Cladistia; Polypteriformes; Polypteridae
Exons: 2
Source: RefSeq, a predicted model, not a curated record
CUUCCCCACACUGUGCAACUCUUCAAUUCCCCACACAUUGGUGGUGACCAAUUAUCUUUGUACAUGAGUUGGAAUGUGAUCCAUUUUUUUCUUCAAACAAAGUUACAACCACCAUAAUCACAGGCAAGCCUUGAUUGUAGUAUUUUCUUCAUAUAUUUUUGUAGUUAGAAUUUAACUUAGACAGCCCAAAUUUGGAAUAUUAAAGAAAACUGAACAUCUUGGCAAAAAAUACAGAGAUGGCCAGAAUUUUAAGUUUGUGGAGCCACCAUGUUAUCAGACAUGCUGUAACUGUUAAAUGCAUUUCACGUUUUAAAUAUGUCAGUUAGAAACAAGCUAUUUCUUUAGGUUAAAUUGAUUCAGUCAUUCUGCUUAAUUAAUUUACAAGAGACAUAUAGCAGUAUGAAAGGUUAGUGCAUUCUCAUGUGAUAUAAUUUUGUAAGAAAGCAUUUGAUUUAGCCUGUUAUAUAAGGUACAUUGUUCCUAGGAGUGUGUUUUCAUUUUGGUAUUUCUUUUUUAAAUCUUUCAUCUAAAAUAUCUAAUUAAUUACAUCAUUUUGUUAAAUGUUUAAAAUGUGCUUAAUUAUGGUAAUUCAGAUAUGUAUAUGACUGUUAGCAAUGCUGUUUAUUCUGGUAAUGGGAGGUUUGUUGCUUUGUAUGUCUUACUGUAUACUUCUCAGUAAAUGAAUGUAACUGAAAUUUAUUAUCAUUUAUUUUGUAAUGGGUAAUAUUUACAUGUUGGAACAGUAGGUAGCUUCAUGGGUUCAAAUUCCAUGUCUGGAUGUUGUUCGAGUGGAGCUUACAUUUUUUCCUGUGUACUCCAGUUUUCCCCCCACAUCCCCAAAACAUACAUGUUUGGUCUGAAACUCUGAAUUAGUGAUUUGUGGGCAUUUGCAUGAAUGGGUCUUUCAGUGGACCAACACCCUGUCUGAUGCUGGAUCAUGCUGGGAUUGGCUCUGGCCCUCCAAAGUCUUUGAAUUGGAUGGCAUUGGGCGGUUCUGAGUUCUUGAAACCUACUACCCUUGGUACAUUUAAACAAACUGAUAUAAUGUACUGUAAUUCUCAAAUAUAUAAAUGUAAGUUCUUUUAGGGCCAGAAUAGAAAUCUUCUAAAAAUCAUUAGUAUUAAGACUAAUUUUAUAGUGUUAAUGUCCACUUUUAAUGCUUUAUAGUGUUGAUUUUUCUCACACCAAUACUGUCAGCAGUUCAAUAAAUAUUUCAAAUGAUA